AUUGAACGCUGGCGGCAUGCUUUACACAUGCAAGUCGAACGGCAGCGCGGGCUUCGGCCUGGCGGCGAGUGGCGAACGGGUGAGUAAUGCAUCGGAACGUGCCCAGUAGUGGGGGAUAGCCCGGCGAAAGCCGGAUUAAUACCGCAUACGACCUGAGGGUGAAAGCGGGGGCCCGAAAGGCCUCGCGCUAUUGGAGCGGCCGAUGUCGGAUUAGCUAGUUGGUGGGGCAAAGGCUUACCAAGGCGACGAUCCGUAGCUGGUCUGAGAGGACGACCAGCCACACUGGGACUGAGACACGGCCCAGACUCCUACGGGAGGCAGCAGUGGGGAAUUUUGGACAAUGGGGGCAACCCUGAUCCAGCCAUGCCGCGUGCGGGAAGAAGGCCUUCGGGUUGUAAACCGCUUUUGUUCGGGAAGAAAUCCUCUGGGCUAAUACCCCGGGGGGAUGACGGUACCGGAAGAAUAAGCACCGGCUAACUACGUG
Molecule: ribosomal RNA, 484 nt
Filed under: uncultured bacterium
Lineage: Bacteria
Description: partial 16S ribosomal RNA
Rfam family: Bacterial small subunit ribosomal RNA
Source: RNAcentral